UGGAGAAUUACCCAAGUCUGGCUGAAGGGAACGGUCUUGAAAACCGUCAGGUCGGGAAACCGGCGCAGAGGUUCAAAUCCUCUAUUCUCCAU
This 92-nucleotide transfer RNA is filed under the name Oenococcus oeni. RNAcentral's name for it is "tRNA-Ser". It matches the Rfam family "tRNA". From Rfam's summary of the family: Transfer RNA (tRNA) molecules are approximately 80 nucleotides in length. Their secondary structure includes four short double-helical elements and three loops (D, anti-codon, and T loops). Lineage: Bacteria; Bacillati; Bacillota; Bacilli; Lactobacillales; Lactobacillaceae. RNAcentral also lists the same sequence under 1 other name. The record is from RNAcentral.